AACGAACGCUGGCGGCAUGCCUAACACAUGCAAGUCGAACGAGAUCUUCGGGUCUAGUGGCGCACGGGUGCGUAACGCGUGGGAAUCUGCCCUUUGGUUCGGAAUAACAGUUGGAAACGACUGCUAAUACCGGAUGAUGACGAAAGUCCAAAGAUUUAUCGCCAGAGGAUGAGCCCGCGUAGGAUUAGCUAGUUGGUGUGGUAAAGGCGCACCAAGGCGACGAUCCUUAGCUGGUCUGAGAGGAUGAUCAGCCACACUGGGACUGCGACACGGCCCAGACUCGUACGGGAGGCAGCAGUGGGGAAUAUUGGACAAUGGGCGAAAGCCUGAUCCAGCAAUGCCGCGUGAGUGAUGAAGGCCUUAGGGUUGUAAAGCUCUUUUACCCGAGAUGAUAAUGACAGUACCGGGAGAAUAAGCUCCGGCUAACUCCGUGCCAGCCGCCGCGGUAA
Molecule: ribosomal RNA, 449 nt
Filed under: uncultured bacterium
Lineage: Bacteria
Description: partial 16S ribosomal RNA
Rfam family: Bacterial small subunit ribosomal RNA
Source: RNAcentral